Molecule: ribosomal RNA, 404 nt
Filed under: uncultured archaeon
Lineage: Archaea
Description: bacterial SSU rRNA
Rfam family: Archaeal small subunit ribosomal RNA
Source: RNAcentral
CAAGGCAGACGGGCUCAGUAACACGUAGUCAACCUUACCCUAUGGACGAGGAUAAUCUCGGGAAACUGAGCAUAAUACUCGAUAGAUCAUAAUGCCUGGAAUGGUUUAUGRUURAAAUGAUUCGUCGCCAUAGGAUGGGACUGCGGCCUAUCAGCUUGUUGGUGAGGUAAUGGCCCACCAAGGCGAUUACAGGUACGGGCUCUGAGAGGAGAAGCCCGGAGAUGGGUACUGAGACAAGGACCCAGGCCCUAUGGGGCGCAGCAGGCGAGAAAACUUUGCAAUGUGCGAAAGCACGACAAGGUUAAUCCGAGUGAUUUCUGCUAAAGAAAUCUUUUGCAAGUCAUAAAACCACUAGUGAAUAAGGGGUGGGCAAGUUCUGGUGUCANCCGCCGCGGUAAAACCAG